UUCGAAAAUGCCGCCUUAUCUCAUACCUCCUUUUUUAUAUAUCUUUGUGUGUGAAGAAUAUGUUGAUAGAUAUCUCAGAAGAGAAAAAUCCUUGGUUUGGAGGGCUCUCAAAGAGGGCUCUUAUUAUUUAUUGUAGCAAACGUUUACCGUUUAAUAAGAACGUAUAAGGACUGUACAUCUGACAGAAUAUAUGAUGAAAAUAUAACAUCUAAUGGUACCGUCAAAGAAAGUUUUCGUGGAACUGGAUUACAAAGAAAAAAAAAAAGGGAAAAAAAAGAAAGAAAGAACCAAGA
Long non-coding RNA from Vespa mandarinia (Asian giant hornet), 293 nucleotides. Lineage: Eukaryota; Metazoa; Arthropoda; Insecta; Hymenoptera; Vespidae. The record is from RefSeq and is a predicted model, not a curated record.